CAGUUCUACAAGAGAGAAGGAAAUCUAAAUGGGCUAGAAGAACUAGCCCACACGGAAGCAAAGAACCAGACACCAGGCAACUGUGCAGAAGGCCGCAGACAGGGGAGAUGGUUUAAAGAGUCAGAGGAAUUGAUAAUACAAUGAAGCGUGCAAAUAGUAAAAGGUCUUAAAGACCAGAGACGUGGGUUUGAAAGCAAAUGGCUAUAACCUACUCCAUCUCUUUGAUAACACUGAAAACUGACCUGGGGGGUGGGAUCCUUGGAGAGGGGGAAAAAAAAAAAAAAAAAACCUACUGAUAAGAAUCUCUGGAAAAAAAAAAUAGUCCUAUUAUAACAUGUGUAUCCAGGGGCAUAGAAGCCAGAACAAAAGGACUGAAUUAGAGGGGAAAAUGUUAAAAUAAAAUCUAAGGAAAAUAAAAGCCUGGAAAUUAAAGCAGUUAACAUAGCAGUUUAAACCAAAAUCUUCUGCAGGAUUACAGCUCUGUGACAUCCUUUAGACAAUACUAGAGAGAAUAUCCCAAAGAAGACUUAGCCAGCUAAAGACUAAAAAUUGUGAAAAAUCAUUUUACAAGUUCUUUCUGGAUGUGUUACACUUACACACAUUAUUUGUAUUACAACUCCUUUUAAGUAGAGUGAUGCAGAUACUCUUCAACCAGGGAUCCCGAGAAACUGCACCUGUCAGCUGGAGACACUUACGCUACAGAAUAAUUAUCACUUUACUCUCAAGUUUCUGAUGGGAGAUACCAGACUACAGCUGAGUUGCUGACAGCUGAGAUGGGAAUAUGCACCUCGACAGUAAUUAUUCACAGUCUGUGUUCCAGCAGGAAUACUUUAAUUAAGAGAUCAAGGAAUGUGGCUAUGUAAGACUUCUUCAAUGGUAAUCCAGCUACAGCAGUGUCAUUGAUGCCAUUAGCUCCGAAGAGAGGAGAGGGCUGUGAGGAGAGACAGCAGAAAAAGCAAGGCUUUCCUCAUCUAUGUUAUUAUGUAACACGAGUCCCUAAGUCACCAGGGUACUGUGUAGUGGAACAGAGAUCCUGGGCAGGAAGCACUUUAACACUGCCUGCUCCUUGUUAGCCACCACCACCACCCCCUGCUGUUAAAUGCCCCCCAUAAACCAGGCACACUGAGAGACUAGGGCUAGCCUCUCUGUAAAUUGCCUAAAAAUUCUGAGCAGUAGACAUUACUCAUACCUAUGAAUAAGGCUAAGAGAUAAGCUGAGUAAUCUGCCCACUGUCUCACUGCCUACUGCAGGACAGCAGAUGAACCACAAAGCCCGCACCGUUUUAUGAUAAUCUACUCACCACACAUUCUGUAAGUCAAGAUGAGUAUCAAUGAAACCAAGAAAACGGUGCAUUUCAUGAGAUUAAGGUAAACAGUAUCAAAAGUAGGUGUUUGAAAAGGGCGAGAGGAAGGAACAAGAGCCACUGCAUCCCCACAGCAGAGAAAGAAGUUCGAGGAGACUAAGAAUACAGAGACAGCAAGGACACAUUGAGUGAAAACAACAGGGAAGAGAAACUAGAACAUCAACCAUUUGGAAUGUGAGGCGUAGAAGGGACAUGUACUCUGGCAGGCCUCGUAGAGAGCGAACCACAAAGUCUAAGUUGAACGGAGUCCUAGAAAUAUUCUUUCUGCUAAUCACAUUUUUAGACACUCAUCUGUGGUUCUUAAUAUCUUAGGAGGGUCUUAGGAUAGGGUACCCAGACAGCACUGGCCAAGGCCCCGUGACCACGUAAGCUUCACGGGCCUCUGGAGCCUACAACUACACACAAAUUUGUGUGCACCCGUUUUUCUGGCCAUAAUCUCUCAUAGUCUGGCUACAACCCGCAAUUCUAAAGUAACUUUAAGUCAACAUCUAGUUAUGUUCCUAAGUCAUGGGCUUUUUAAACGGCAUUCAAAAAAGCACUUGCUCAAAUCCCAAAGGCCAACUGGCACAGGUCCUGGUAUCAGAAAGUCCUGGCCUUUGCGGUGAGGUAAAGGGCCGAGGAGACGGCUCUGGAACCUAAGAAGUGAGACACGUUCAGGUUAUAGUGGACUGACGAUGGAGCUCUACUUCCCAGUACCUUCUAGUUCCAUACACAGAAGUGGGAAACAGAGUGAAACUGUUUUCUUCCAAAUGUUUUCCCAAAAGUCCUCCCUCUGAAAGACUGUAUAUAAAAGCCAACAUGUAGCCGACACACAAAUGACAGCAGCAUCCUCAUGCUAUUGCUGAUGUUACUACCACCACCUCCAGCAACGUCAGAGUACUCAUCCACAUGGGUGGACUGGAUCCAUAGCUCUGGUCAUACAAGUAUUUCCACACUGAAACCUGGCAGAAAGAAAGUUGGCAGGGAGCCUGAACAAGGAAUUUUGAGAGAGAAUUCUCUUCAACACAGAGAAGACUUCUAUAAAGAAACUUUGUGUUGUCAUGAGCCACUCCCUUCCCUGGACCCGUAAAUCCUCUGCAUUUGGAUAUUGGAAGCCUGAUAGAAAUAGGCCAUCAGCAACAGGACUCUUGUCAGUAGUUGAAAUCCAGUAUGUUUGCAGAAAUAGUCAAAAUACAGGAAGAAGUAAGGUGCUUCACAGGCCUGCGCUGAAAGCAGACACUGACCCUGUCGGGCUGGUUGCUUUGCUAAAGUCAAAUGUAACUAAAUCGUCUGAGGAGGUCACAUUCAGAGAGGCAGGGAAAGACACAGAUACAUCAAAAUUCCUAUCAAUCCUUUGUAGAAUCAACUCUUGUCCCAUAAAACUGAAUGUAAUCAUUAAUAAGCUAAAUUGAGAAAAAUAUAUGUCAACUUCUUUUACUUUCUCUACUUUUCCUUUGGUGCAGGUGGUAAUAAAAGCAAUAAAAUCAUGAAGAGAUACAGUUGACAGGAGGAAGAUAAAAGCCACAGGCUUAAGUGAUUUUUCCAUUAUCCUAUAAUCCAUCAGGUUGUUUUUAGCUUUAAAUUUCUGGGUAUUCUAUUUCUUAAAUAAGAACGGAAUUUAAGAAGAGUAUAUCAAAAGCAGUUAAAGGUUUGAAAAAAAACAUGAAGUGGGAUUUUCCUUGGAUUGAAUAAUUUGUAGAACUAAAGAAGUACUUUAACCAAUGUCAGUUUCUUGGGUUUUGAUACUGUACAACAGCUUUAUAACAUGUCAUCGUUAGGGGAAAAUUUAGAGGUCAUGGGACUUCAUAGAGUAUUUUUGCAAAUUCUCGAGAAUCUAUAAUUAUUUCAAAAUAAAAAGUUUUUUAAAAAGUGCCUUAAAGUAUAGACUGCACUAUAAUUGAAGACCAGAGUCUUCUGUGAGUCUUCUGACAGAACAGCAAGCUAUAAUUAAACCAAAACAUUUGAUGAGGCAAAAGGGACUGCAGACAUUAGAGACUGACACUGCCUGUAGGCAAGGAGUAGUCAUGAGGACAACUUGCCUGCUUAACAAUCAGAAAAGUAAAAUGUGUAUACACUUUGACCUAAUUUUACUUUCAGAAACAGAACUCACAAAAAGAAUGCAUAAUUCAUUUAAAGAACUCUACAAGAAACAAAAUAAAGACAAUGGCUCUUUUUCACCCAUCAGGGGGAAAAGGUACAUUUGGGAAAUUUGUAGGUUUACUUUUCCUGACUUUCCAAAAAAGUAAAAUUACAAAAAUACCAGGUCAUGAUUUAAUACCUGCAUUGAAAAUUCAUGUUUUAACAAUACCCCCCAAAAUUUCAUUUAAAUAAAAACAUUACUUUGAAUGCCCAUCUACCUUCUGUAGAAAACCUAAGUUUCAUGCAAAUGAAAUACAAACCUGUGCUUUGAUGAUUUGCUAAAUAUAUUAUAUUUUCUUUAUUUUUUGGCAAAUCUCCAUAUAGCAAUAUCUAAAAGAUAAAACAAAAAGAAACAUUAUUUUAACAUUUCAAAACAUGCACUAUUGUAACAAACAAAAUAGGACGAUGUCAAAAAAUUGACAAUACCAUGAAUAUUUCCAUCCAUGAUUAACAAAAAUGAGAUUUCUCUCAGAAGCAUCAGAGACCAUCAAUGGCGCAUGUUUAUAAAGUAGUUAAGUUCAGGGCAGGCUGAUGGUUAGAAAGUGAAACAGAAUGAUCAACAUCCUCAUGAGAAAAAUACGACAAGCAUUUAUUUACUGACUGUUUACAAUAUCUGAAGCUCUUUCUGUAAGAUGCAUUUUCCUUCAAAAACCCUACAGUGCAGUGGAAGAGACAGCCAUGUAAACAGUAACCGUAUAAGACAUAACACAUUUUACAUUACGAAAAUAAGGCACACUUUAUAUUAAAGAACUGUCAAGGGCAGAGCAGAAGCAGUAUUCAUUAGGUGUGGUUUCAGCAGAUGAGAUGAAGGAAGGAUGUUCAUGAAGAGGUGGACAAAGAGAUGGAAGUGGAAGUGUCUGAGGCCCGUGGAGGUACCCCCAGCAGGAUCACAGUCAAACCACGGCUGCAUGCAGAGUUGGUGAGCUGGAGCAAGGAGACCCCAGGGAGAUCUGGACCAGAAUGGGAAAAGACUUUUGAAUACCAAAUUGAAGAUUAAAACUUUAUAUUAUGUCCAAUCAGAUCUUCUGGUCACAACACUCUUCGUUAACAGCCUAACAACUGAAGAAAGAAAAUGACAUUAAUGCAGCAUCUCUGUAGAAAAUUGGAACUAGAUGACACAACAUUCCGGAGGUCAGGGACUCAGACUGAGGUCUCUAUUAUCUUCCUUAGAACACUAUUCAGUGCUAAAGAUGUAGUAUGUCUCUAGAUCCUUGCUCAUUUUUUUAUUAACAAAGUCUAUCAGUACCAAAAAACAAAACCAAAAGGCAAAACCCUAAACCAAUCGCUUGAUCUAUGCAGGAUUAAAAAGGGAGUUCUUGCUUGUGAACGAUCCCCACUCUCUCUCCAGAGCACUGGGUACAACGCACUGCGCUUCAGUACUGCAGCUACACAACCGUCGUGUUUUGGCUUAGGUUCUCUGGAUGUGAUAUUCGCAUUUAAAGUCUCAGUCUAAUUGAUUCAACCUGUCCACCACUCUUUGGAGACCUGCCUGCCCCCAAGCUGAAGCCAGCACUUGAACCAUCCAAGGAGAGACUCUCCUUUUCCUUCCUUGCUCUGAGCUUGUUAAUAGACUGUCGGGCUGCAGCCUUUGAAGGCAGAUAACAGGUUAUUAAAAGGCAUUUUUUAAAGUUUGAUUACAGUUAUGCAUAUUCCAACUGCAUAGUGGUCGGCAGCACUGGCUCUGAAAGAAAUCGCCCAGGGCAGAGCGUAGGAGAUAGAAGUUUAUUGAACACACCGCAAGAUAGGCUAGGCAUGGGUAGGACGGCCAAGGAGAGACUGUCCGCCUGGAGGCAGGGGUGAAGGGUUGUAGCUACAGGGUGGAGGCAUGCAGACACAUGCAAUUGUCCCUCUUUUGGUAACAGUGCCAGGUUGGAAGCAGCCCUUUGGUAGGUGAGGGCCCACGGCCAUUUUCAGGU
Molecule: long non-coding RNA, 5397 nt
Organism: Canis lupus familiaris (dog)
Lineage: Eukaryota; Metazoa; Chordata; Mammalia; Carnivora; Canidae
Exons: 3
Source: RefSeq, a predicted model, not a curated record